RNAcentral lists this long non-coding RNA (1486 nucleotides) under Mus musculus (house mouse). RNAcentral's name for it is "RIKEN cDNA 2310015A10 gene". Lineage: Eukaryota; Metazoa; Chordata; Mammalia; Rodentia; Muridae. The record is from RNAcentral.
AGACGCUCCGAGAUGCCGAAGGGCCAGCAGCGGCCCCGAAGCUCCGGGCUGGCCGCGCUGUCGCUCUGCCGCGCCCCGGUCUCGAAGUGAAGGUGCCUCUUCCUGGCUAGCCCACCUACAUGCUGUCAUCACUGGGCUUCUGCAACUCUCAGUCUUUGUGGCUGCACCCUUCCCUUCUGAAUCCUGAGGACCCAUGAGUGUCAGGCCCAUCAUGAAAUUGGUCGUCUUACUGGGUACGUAGGUCAUGCAGGAACGGGUCCUUGCAAGAGGACUACCAAGCGACUGAAUAGGUUUUAAUCUGGAUUGGGGCCUAGGAGUUAUUCACAGGUGUUUUGAACCUUCAGCACAGGAGUCUUUCCCCUGCAGCUUUCCCGAGGCUGUACAGCAUUUAUUGGUGCUCAUCUGUUUGAGUAGAGCUGGCAUAGAGGACUGCCACCGGCUGGGAGGGGCCAUGGUACCAGAGGUCUUGGGUGCCUGAAGAUACUCCCCCUAGCCCUGAUGCCUUGGAAGAGAAGCCCUUCAAGACAAGCUGAUGCCAGGCCCUGGCCAGAGGUGGGGACAGAUGGCAUUUCCUGCUCAGUGUGUGGGCCUGGGCCCCAUUGCUUGGGGGAGUUCCAUGAGUGUUAACAGGAUUCAAAGGAAGAGGUAGGAACUUAGGGGCGAUCCUGUUGGAAAGAUAUCAUUUGGAGAAGUGAGGGGGAGCUUGAAGCAAAGGGGUCUGUGUCCUGAGGAAAGUCUGGUACCCUCUGAUACCUCUUUCCCCAUUGAUGCUGACUGAUCUUGCUUUUGGGCUGAUCUGUCAAGAAGACUGGCAUGUUUCCACUGGAGAUCUGUCCUUUUUUUCUCCCCAGUGCCCCCACUGUUGGUCAGUGGGCAUUGUGAGGAUCAAGGCUACUGGACACUGAGUAGCAACUCAGAAUCCAUCUCGGGGAGGUUCUGAGGGUCAGCCUGGGCAUGGAGAGAGGCAGGUGGCACUUCUUGGUGGGUGUGGUAGCAGAGAAAUCCUAGAAGUUGCAACCGCACCCCUCCUCGUCUGGAGUGACAGGGGAGUGGCCUGAGCCCUGCUCCCCAGCUGUCCAAGGCAAACUGACUGGAGUCCAUCUGGCUGUCCCCACCAGAUCAGGCUCCCUUCCCAUCCUGGAACACCAAAGCUGCUAAGUCUGCAGAAAGCACAGCAGAGGGAUGCCUAGAUCAGGGGUCUACCUAGGCACACCUGGAGCUAAGCUGCAUGGGGGGUGGGGGGUGAGGGUGGGGAGAUGCCCAAGGGCAGCCAAGGGUACCUUCAAUGGCCUUUCUUCCUAGGUUCUAUGUAAUGGUGGCUACACACUUCCCUGAUGACUGUCAUUUAAGGCAUACAUAAUUCUCCUUCCAGAACCUGUCUCUUCAUUGUUAUCAUGGUCAUCUAUUCACAAUAUCCUCUGUCACUUUAGAAUAUAUUGCUUAUAAAAAGACUUGAGAGGUAUCUUGGGUUGCAUAAGCCUCCAAA